CAAAUUCAACUCUAUAAUAGAGUUACUCUAUUUUAGUGUAAAUUAUAGAGGAAAAAAUAGAGUCCCCUUGGAGAUGCUCUUAUCUCUUCUCAUGUGUUUUCUUUCUUGGUGCUCUAAGCACUCGCCUCCGCGGUUCAGAUCUGAUUCGGAAAAGCACAAAGUUAGGGUCGGUAAGGGGUUCUUGUGGGUCAAGUAAGGAGACGUAGGUCACAAUCAGGUGUCAAAUUUAGUUAUUGGAAAAAAAAUUUCUUUUAUUGUGUUUUCGGUGCUCCUCCUUCUCGGCUUAGGUGUACAGUCAUACAUGGUUUGACCGUGCAUCGGUGUUCUUCAAACAGUGGGGAUGCAGUUUAUUUUUUCUUGUUCGUCAUUGAUAGCGUGUCUCUUACGAUUUGUCGAUUUUGUUUCCGGGGAACCUCCAUAGAUGUUUUCGUUUCAAAAUUUGGAAGAUCUAUUGUGGGUUCUCCGUUGCAUGGCGUGAGCGGAGUGGUGCUGGUCUUGAAAGUCGCUCCUCUCUUUUCUAGUGGUAGCGCAUGCCGGGCAAACUUGUUUCAGAGACGAAAUCUAGGACUGCUCUGGACUGUUCUUCUUUAGAUGGUAUUGUCUAGCUUUUCUUCUUAUGUGUAGGUUUGAAGGCGAAUAGCGACUCUUGAAAGUUUAUCUUACUGAAUAAAGCUUGGUCUUUGUUUUAAGAAGAUUUUCAUAAGUUGUUCUUGUUGUACACAAUCAUUAAAAACAUAUCAUCGGACAAGCCAAUUCUACCGAGUUUUGUCUCUCGUUAUUACUACGGGUCUUUUUUGUGGCAAACGUUUAGUUCAAUUAUGUUGUAUUUUCAUAAACUUUUUGCCAGGUGUGUCCAUCCCUUUUUAUUUAGAUUUGAAUUCUGUUUGUUCUAAUUUUGCAUUCUGUUUUUUUUUUUUGUAUUUCGUAAAAAUUGGUAAUAUAGCAUGUUUACCCAAAAAAAAAAGAUUUGAGAUAUUCACACUCGUUUUCAAAGAUCGGAGAUGUGAUAAUUUGUGAAAACAUGGAAUAAAGGAACAAUAAAGAAAUUGACCACAAAAAAAAGGAACAAUAAAGAAAUGAUAAAUAUACCGACAUGCAUAGCAAUUAUAAAUGAGGAUGUUGGAGGGUUGGAGAGAGGAAGAAUGACACGUGGGUAGAGUGGUAGGGUAGAGAGGGUAAUAGAGUGCGAAUAAUGAAGAAUGAUGAGAGAUUGAGAGGCUUUACUUUGUUGCAUUUCAAAUUUAAUCCUCAAUUUUAUCUUGUUCUCUCAUCAUAUUUGUCUAUAAUGCUAUAUGUUUUCUGAAUGGUUGUAAACUGAAUUAUUCAUUGCGUUUUCUAACACUAUCUUAUUGAUUUCGUUUUCUAACACUACCUUAUGCUUUUGCAAACGAACCCUAUUGUCCAUUUAACAUACAAAAAAGAAUCCUCUCUUGACAAAAAAAAAUCAAACUCUUCGUGUCAAGGUGAAGAGGUCAGUUGGUCAUAGCCACUAGACUACGGCAAACUUAAAGAUUCUUCGACUUGUUGCUAUUUUUGUCUUUAUAAUAGUAUUUAAAAUCAAAAUUACUUUAGCAUAUCUCUUACUUUAAAAUAUGAACUACUAUUUUUCUCUAUAUUUAAAUAAUAAUUUCUAUUUUAAUAUAUAUUUUUAAGUAAUACUAUUUAAAAAUACAUUGAGAUAUAUUUCAUUUCUAUUUUAAAGUUCUUAUGUUUUAAAGGAAAAGUAGCAAAAUAGAGAUAGUCUCAAUUUAGUCGUAUGAUCUUGAGAUAAUGUAAUUUGAAGUUCUAAAAGCACAUAGAGUCUACUUUUGCUUUAAAAGAAGGAAAGACAACCAUUACUUCAAAAUGACUCACUGCAGCAACAGUUCACGUUUUUCUAUUACUCAGUUCUCUUGUGAUUGAUUUUUGUAAAGAAUUCUGGUAUUAUUAACUCCACUUUUAUUUUCUUUCCCUGGUUGCUGCCAUGUCAGUAAGUGUCCCAAUUUCUUACAGGAGCGAGAAAUGACUAAAUGAGGAGUCAGCAUGUCAAGAUUCUCCAAUGGAUUCCAUUUUCCCCUAAUCUCCAUAAAAUUUAUAUAUAGAAAUUACAAACAAUGACGUAACCAAAUGGGCUUACAACUUACAAGUACCUAACCAAGGAUCUAAAGAUUGGAUGGAAUGUAUAAGCAUAUGAUGUGAGACCAUCUUUAUCCCUGAUCCUUAAUAAGGUUUCUAAGCAAAAUAAGUGAUUUAAUUAAAUCAAAAGAAAAGAAAAGAGGUAUAACCGAUCCUUAAAUAAGGAGUUUGGUGACCGCUUUUAAGAGAGGUUUUAAGUCCACGUGUCAGAAAAUUAGGGAAAGGCUUUUUUUCCUUCUAUUUGUCUCUUUUUUUUCUGACUUUGUCUAGUCUUUCUCGUGUUCUCCGUCUGAGAGAAAGGGUCGAAACCGACGAAACCCACCACCGAUCGAAACCCCAAACACUCUUCUCCACCACCGAUCCUCCACCACCGAUCCUCCGUCUUUGAUAUUUUUGUUGAAAGAUACAAAGGCAAAGACAUCUCUGUUGUUGCAGGUGUUGAAGGAAGAGGUUUCAUUUUUGGUCCUCCUAUUGCGAUGGCUAUUGGUGCCAAAUUUGUUCCCAUGAGGAAGCCCAAGAAGCUACCUGAUGGCUAGGACUCAGAAGAACAAAGCAACCGCUCAUCAUCUGGAUUUGUUAAAGGUAAACUCUUCUCCUCCCAAGCUAUUUCAUUUUUCCAGUUUUGUGUAGCUUAGAGUGAGGUUUGUUGUUUAUAUAUGGCAUAGUCUCUUGUAAAGUUUCUUACUUGGAUGAAUAAGUUUUGUUGUUAAUACCAAAUAGCACAGUGUAAAACAUUGCAUGGACCUUAAGAAAUAAAACAGAGGUGCUGCAGCACAUGAGACUUAUGGCAUUUUUUGUUUGUUUGUCCCCAGUGUUGUAUGUCGCCACUAUUACAGAAUCAGCUAGCAGAGUUAACAAAUCAGAAGCAGCAGCAACAAGUGGCAACUGGUGGAGAUAAAAAGAGAAGAAAACUUGUGGUGGUUUCCCAGAAUUGCAUCGAACCGCUUCAAGCACUUUGUCAUGGUAGUAAAGAGGUGAUGAGCAUGAAAGGUCAGAGUGCAGAUAAGAGGCGCGAUAUAGCGACCUUGAGGAAGAAAAGAAAGGAAGAGAAGAUAGGUGUGUGAUAUAACUUGCUUUUCUUUUUAUAUGUAGUGUUUGUGCCCAUUGAAAUGACUUUUUUGGUAAACCGUGGACUUGCAAGAUGUGCUCGGGAGGUUCAUGUUUGAUACAACAUUAUAGUUAGUUAUAGAAACCGAGGAUCGAAAGAGGCAAAAAAAAAAAAAAUUUAAGAAACCCAAAUUAAGAAACUACCAUUGUAGUUCAAAAAUUAGGUGAUUUU
Brassica rapa (field mustard) is the source of this 3394-nucleotide long non-coding RNA. RefSeq lists it as uncharacterized. Lineage: Eukaryota; Viridiplantae; Streptophyta; Magnoliopsida; Brassicales; Brassicaceae. The record is from RefSeq and is a predicted model, not a curated record.